Conger conger (European conger) is the source of this 702-nucleotide long non-coding RNA. RefSeq lists it as uncharacterized. Lineage: Eukaryota; Metazoa; Chordata; Actinopteri; Anguilliformes; Congridae. The record is from RefSeq and is a predicted model, not a curated record. The transcript is spliced from 3 exons.
UUGCACGAAAUCAACGCGGAAAUUAUAUUCGGAGUGCAACGCCGGUCUGAAGGGCUUGCCUACGCUCUACCACGAACCUCAAUUCACUUUGCAUAUCCUUUGUACAUUCAUUUGGGAAAGGAUGAAAACACAGAGGUGGAGAGGGAGGGAACUAACAGACCAACAAUCCUUCCCCAGUUCCCCGUACCAGGCGUCCCAUACCAUAAACACUCCCGAACCUGAGGCCAUGCAGGUGGGGCAAACCCAACUCUCGGUGCUGGAGCAUCUCUGCCUGUAAUGUGGUGGACCAGGCCACCGUAUCUCCAAUUGCCCGGUAAAAGACAAUGCCCGUUAGUGAAGGAGGGGGUCCUGAUGGGCGCCACUGAAUCCAUCCCCCUCAACCUCAAGGUCCACUAUCAUGGCUUACAUCUCCUGGGAGGGGCUCGCCACCAAGUGCGAGUUCUGAUCGACUCCGGAGCCAAUGCCAACCUGAUCUGCCCCACUCUGGUCGGUCACCUGGGAGUUCCGACCUUUAUGUUUUUGACUUCUGCCUCUGGAUUCCGAUUCUGUCUAAUUUGCCUGUUUGUUUUUGACCCUCUGCCUGUGACCACGACUAUGAUUUGGAUUCUUUCAUCUUGGUCUUGCAUCUGGGUCUGGUGCUCCACGUGCCUGAUACAUUGGCCAUAGUGGGUUCAUAUAAACUCUAUAAAGGUUGACUUUACA